Molecule: non-coding RNA, 529 nt
Organism: Erpetoichthys calabaricus (reedfish)
Lineage: Eukaryota; Metazoa; Chordata; Cladistia; Polypteriformes; Polypteridae
Source: the annotation of a RefSeq genome assembly
UAGGCCUACAGCAUUUUCCAGUGGCUUAUAAACUAAGCACAAAUUCAAGAAUAGAAAUAAAAAUUAUUAUUUUCUAAUUACACAGUUCACAAUGAAAAAAUACUCCUAUUUUAUUCACUUUAUUUUUGCUCUUUCUCCAGAUUUAAUUAAAGGAGAUUCAGUCACUAACACUGAGUCAGAUGUUCCCAGAACAGAAGCCAGUGAAGUAACUCUCCGGUGCAGCUACUCAACAAGCAGCAACGCUCCUAACCUUUAUUGGUACCGAAAAUAUUCAAAUCAAGCCAUGCAAUACAUUUUGCGCAAACCUGCGAGAUCCAGUUCUUGGAGUCCUAAUACUGCAAGUUUUGCUCAAGAACGAUUUUCUUCAACAACAGGGCAGGAUUUCACUGAACUCAAAAUUUCUGCUUUAACUUUGAGUGAUUCUGCCAUCUACUUCUGUGCACUUGUACCCACUGUGUUAUAUUCUUUUCAGACACUGAACAAAAACUGCCUAACCACAGAUAACAAAGAUAAGGAUCCCUUGAGAUGA